This 253-nucleotide ribosomal RNA is filed under the name uncultured bacterium. RNAcentral describes it as "partial 16S ribosomal RNA". It matches the Rfam family "Bacterial small subunit ribosomal RNA", at positions 524 to 776 of the family's 1533-position model. The record is from RNAcentral.
UACAGAGGGUGCAAGCGUUGUUCGGAAUUAUUGGGCGUAAAGGGCGCGUAGGCGGUGCGGUAAGUCUGUAGUGAAAUCUCUGAGCUCAACUCAGAGUCUGCUGCAGAAACUGCCGUGCUUGAGUGUGGGAGAGGUGAGUGGAAUUCCCGGUGUAGCGGUGAAGUGCGUAGAUAUCGGGAGGAACACCUGUGGCGAAAGCGGCUCACUGGACCACAACUGACGCUGAGGCGCGAAAGCUAGGGGAGCAAACAGG